Molecule: unclassified non-coding RNA, 229 nt
Filed under: Spirosphaera carici-graminis
Lineage: Eukaryota; Fungi; Ascomycota; Leotiomycetes; Helotiales
Description: partial internal transcribed spacer region
Rfam family: Eukaryotic small subunit ribosomal RNA (bases 1-46)
Source: RNAcentral
AAGUCGUAACAAGGUUUCCGUAGGUGAACCUGCGGAAGGAUCAUUAAAAAUGAAGCCGGGAAACCGGUCCUUCUCACCCUUGAUUAUCUCAAUUUGUUGCUUUGGUGGGCCGCGCAAGCACCGGCUUCGGCUGGAUCGUGCCCGCCAGAGGACCACAACUCUGUAAUAUAUGUCGUCUGAGUACUAUAAAAUAGUUAAAACUUUCAACAACGGAUCUCUUGGUUCUGGC